AGAGUUUGAUCCUGGCUCAGGAUGAACGCUGGCGGUCUGCUUAACACAUGCAAGUCGAACGGGAUCCUUCGGGAUUUAGUGGCGGACGGGUGAGUAACGCGUGAGAAUCUGCCCUUAGGUUGGGGACAACAGUUGGAAACGACUGCUAAUACCCAAUGUGCCGAGAGGUGAAAGGUUAACUGCCUGGGGAUGAGCUCGCGUCUGAUUAGCUAGUUGGAGUGGUAACGGCACACCAAGGCGACGAUCAGUAGCUGGUCUGAGAGGAUGAUCAGCCACACUGGGACUGAGACACGGCCCAGACUCCUACGGGAGGCAGCAGUGGGGAAAUUUCCGCAAUGGGCGAAAGCCUGACGGAGCAAGACCGCGUGAGGGAGGAAGGCCUAUUGGUUGUAAACCUCUUUUGAUAGGGAAGAACACAAUGACGGUACCUAUCGAAUCAGCAUCGGCUAACUCCGUGCCAGCAGCCGCGGUAAUACGGAGGAUGCAAGCGUUAUCCGGAUUUAUUGGGCGUAAAGCGUCCGUAGGUGGCAAACCAAGUCAGUUGUUAAAGCGUAGAGCUUAACUCUAUAAGGGCAAUUGAAACUGGUUAGCUAGAGUGCGAUAGGGGCAAGGGGAAUUCCCAGUGUAGCGGUGAAAUGCGUAGAUAUUGGGAAGAACAUCGGUGGCGAAGGCGCCUUGCUGGGUCUGCACUGACACUGAGGGACGAAAGCUAGGGGAGCGAAAGGGAUUAGAUACCCCUGUAGUCCUAGCCGUAAACGAU
This 760-nucleotide ribosomal RNA is filed under the name cyanobacterium enrichment culture clone B_RT_B.1.2_C09-T7. Its description in RNAcentral is "bacterial SSU rRNA". It matches the Rfam family "Bacterial small subunit ribosomal RNA", at positions 8 to 810 of the family's 1533-position model. The record is from RNAcentral. Lineage: Bacteria; Bacillati; Cyanobacteriota.